This 616-nucleotide ribosomal RNA is filed under the name Halobacterium sp. I.C29. Its description in RNAcentral is "bacterial SSU rRNA". It matches the Rfam family "Archaeal small subunit ribosomal RNA", at positions 44 to 661 of the family's 1478-position model. The record is from RNAcentral. Lineage: Archaea; Methanobacteriati; Methanobacteriota; Halobacteria; Halobacteriales; Halobacteriaceae.
GAUAGCCAUGCUAGUUGUGCGGGUUUAGACCCGCAGCGGAAAGCUCAGUAACACGUGGCCAAGCUACCCUGUGGACGGGAAUACUCUCGGGAAACUGAGGCUAAUCCCCGAUAACGCUUUGCUCCUGGAAGGGGCAAAGCCGGAAACGCUCCGGCGCCACAGGAUGCGGCUGCGGUCGAUUAGGUAGACGGUGGGGUAACGGCCCACCGUGCCCAUAAUCGGUACGGGUUGUGAGAGCAAGAGCCCGGAGACGGAAUCUGAGACAAGAUUCCGGGCCCUACGGGGCGCAGCAGGCGCGAAACCUUUACACUGUACGAAAGUGCGAUAAGGGGACUCCGAGUGUGAAGGCAUAGAGCCUUCACUUUUGUACACCGUAAGGUGGUGCACGAAUAAGGACUGGGCAAGACCGGUGCCAGCCGCCGCGGUAAUACCGGCAGUCCGAGUGAUGGCCGAUCUUAUUGGGCCUAAAGCGUCCGUAGCUGGCUGAACAAGUCCGUUGGGAAAUCUGUCCGCUUAACGGGCAGGCGUCCAGCGGAAACUGUUCAGCUUGGGACCGGAAGACCUGAGGGGUACGUCUGGGGUAGGAGUGAAAUCCUGUAAUCCUGGACGGACCGCC